RNAcentral lists this ribosomal RNA (461 nucleotides) under Veillonella parvula. RNAcentral describes it as "bacterial SSU rRNA". It matches the Rfam family "Bacterial small subunit ribosomal RNA", at positions 28 to 465 of the family's 1533-position model. Lineage: Bacteria; Bacillati; Bacillota; Negativicutes; Veillonellales; Veillonellaceae. The record is from RNAcentral.
GACGAACGCUGGCGGCGUGCUUAACACAUGCAAGUCGAACGAAGAGCGACGGAAGCUUGCUUCUAUCAAUCUUAGUGGCGAACGGGUGAGUAACGCGUAAUCAACCUGCCCUUCAGAGGGGGACAACAGAUGGAAACGACUGCUAAUACCGCAUACGAUCUAAUCUCGGCAUCGAGGAUAGAUGAAAGGUGGCCUCUACAUGUAAGCUAUCACUGAAGGAGGGGAUUGCGUCUGAUUAGCUAGUUGGAGGGGUAACGGCCCACCAAGGCGAUGAUCAGUAGCCGGUCUGAGAGGAUGAACGGCCACAUUGGGACUGAGACACGGCCCAGACUCCUACGGGAGGCAGCAGUGGGGAAUCUUCCGCAAUGGACGAAAGUCUGACGGAGCAACGCCGCGUGAGUGAUGACGGCCUUCGGGUUGUAAAGCUCUGUUAAUCGGGACGAAAGGCCUUCUUGCAAAUA